RNAcentral lists this ribosomal RNA (479 nucleotides) under uncultured bacterium. Its description in RNAcentral is "partial 16S ribosomal RNA". It matches the Rfam family "Bacterial small subunit ribosomal RNA", at positions 28 to 507 of the family's 1533-position model. The record is from RNAcentral.
GAUGAACGCUAGCGGGAGGCCUAACACAUGCAAGCCGAGCGGUAUUGUUUCUUCGGAAAUGAGAGAGCGGCGUACGGGUGCGUAACACGUGUGCAACCUUCCUUUAUCUGGGGGAUAGCCUUUCGAAAGGAAGAUUAAUACUCCAUAAUAUAUUGAACGGCAUCGUUUAAUAUUGAAAGCUCCGGCGGAUAGAGAUGGGCACGCGCAAGAUUAGCUAGUUGGUGAGGUAACGGCUCACCAAGGCGAUGAUCUUUAGGGGGCCUGAGAGGGUGAUCCCCCACACUGGUACUGAGACACGGACCAGACUCCUACGGGAGGCAGCAGUGAGGAAUAUUGGUCAAUGGGUGCAAGCCUGAACCAGCCAUCCCGCGUGAAGGACGACUGCCCUAUGGGUUGUAAACUUCUUUUGUAUAGGGAUAAACCUACCCUCGAGAGGGUAGCUGAAGGUACUAUACGAAUAAGCACCGGCUAACUCCGUG